GCCCGCCUAGCUCAAUCGGAUAGAGCGUCAGACUCUUAUAAAUAGGCGGAAUCUGAAGGCUGCGAGUUCGACCCUCGCGGUGGGCU
RNAcentral lists this transfer RNA (86 nucleotides) under Collybiopsis luxurians FD-317 M1. Its description in RNAcentral is "Gymnopus luxurians FD-317 M1 tRNA". It matches the Rfam family "tRNA". From Rfam's summary of the family: Transfer RNA (tRNA) molecules are approximately 80 nucleotides in length. Their secondary structure includes four short double-helical elements and three loops (D, anti-codon, and T loops). Lineage: Eukaryota; Fungi; Basidiomycota; Agaricomycetes; Agaricales; Omphalotaceae. The record is from Rfam by way of RNAcentral.